This 365-nucleotide long non-coding RNA is filed under the name Phasianus colchicus (ring-necked pheasant). RNAcentral describes it as "lncRNA (ENSPCLG00000005227.1)". Lineage: Eukaryota; Metazoa; Chordata; Aves; Galliformes; Phasianidae. The record is from RNAcentral.
GAGAGAUUGAAUCCCUUAAGAAAAUAUUUGAAAUGAAAGCAUCUGAAAAAGGGUAACCUUGGCUUGGCCUGAAGUGGAAGCAUUCAUGUGCUCACCUGCAGAGGAGUACAGUUGAACACAUGAGCAAGAUCCUACCUAGAAGGAAAGAAAUGCGACUGUGCUGGAACCUUACUCUCUGCUCUUAUCCUGUUCUUACAAAUAGGUGAAAUCACUGUAGUCUCUGGCAUUGGUUUUUAGCCCAAAUCUGCCACUUGAAUAUGUGGACAGGGAUGAACUCCAUCCACAAACACUGAGUAGAGAAUCCUUUGACAACAAGGAAAUUUCCAGCUAACAUAAACCUGAGAGGACCAGACGUUGCCUCAGCU